CCUACGGGAGGCAGCAGUAGGGAAUAUUGGUCAAUGGGUGAGAGCCUGAACCAGCCAUGCCGCGUGCAGGAAGAAGGCCUUUUGGGUUGUAAACUGCUUUUGCCGGGGGAUAAAAUGGCUUUGCGAAGCUAAUUGAAGGUACCCGGWGAAUAAGCCACGGCUAACUACGUGCCAGCAGCCGCGGUAAUACGKAGGUGGCAAGCGUUGUCCGGAUUUAUUGGGUUUAAAGGGUGCGUAGGCGGUUCUUUAAGUCAGUGGUGAAAUMCAGCCGCUUAACGGUUGAGGUGCCAUUGAUACUGAAGAACUUGAGUACAGACGAGGUAGGCGGAAUUGACGGUGUAGCGGUGAAAUGCUUAGAUAUSGUCAAGAACACCGAUAGMGAAGGCAGCUUWSUAGACUGUAACUGACGCUGAGGCAMGAAAGUGUGGGGAUCAAACAGGAUUAGAUACCCUGGUAGUCCACRCUGUAAACGAUGAUUACUCGAUGUKGGCGAUACACAGCCAGMGUCUYAGCAAAASCGAUAA
RNAcentral lists this ribosomal RNA (524 nucleotides) under uncultured bacterium. RNAcentral's name for it is "partial 16S ribosomal RNA". It matches the Rfam family "Bacterial small subunit ribosomal RNA", at positions 338 to 863 of the family's 1533-position model. The record is from RNAcentral.